Molecule: long non-coding RNA, 668 nt
Filed under: Brassica rapa (field mustard)
Lineage: Eukaryota; Viridiplantae; Streptophyta; Magnoliopsida; Brassicales; Brassicaceae
Description: long non-coding RNA (BRAP_LNC003820)
Source: RNAcentral
GUGGUUUGACAUAGACGUUUUUAUGGUAGAUAAAAAUAUGAUUUUAUUUUAGUAGAGUAGAUGAACCAAAAAUACAAUUGAAAAAGAAAAUACAAUUCAAGAAGAAGAGAAAGAUAUUGGGCGACCGAGAAAAUGAAAGGAGCUUAUCACGCAAGAAACCCUCAUGCGGAAGAGACACAUUCUUGAAGACAUUCCGUUCACGGUACACUGGCAAUACACAAUGACCUGAAGAACGAGCUUCAUGAUUAGUUUAUGAAUAUAUGAUUUAAACAACAAAGAAACUAGCAAAUUUGAAUGUUUGCCUUAGAGGAUUAUUGUUUCUAUUAAAUUUCUCGCAAUUUGAAUUUCCAGGCUGAUCAUCUUGUCAACAGAGCACGAGCCCGCAAAUCUGUUUUCUCAUAUGUAAACGGAAAGCCCAUCUAGAACAAGUGGACCGGACAGGAAGCCCACCUCCAGAGCAGCUUAGAGAGAGAGAGAGAGAGAGAGAGAGAAUAUCAAGACUUUUUUAAUGAAAUAUCAAGACAAAAUUCAAUCACCUCUUUUUGAAUUUAUUCGAAAAAUGAGAGAUUUGAUCAUUCAUCUAAUAUAUCUUUUUUCUUCUUAUUAUUUUAUCUAGCUAUUAUAAUUGUAAGAAUCAAAGAUUUAAACUAUUUAUUAUAAAAUUUGUG